This 696-nucleotide ribosomal RNA is filed under the name uncultured bacterium. RNAcentral's name for it is "bacterial SSU rRNA". It matches the Rfam family "Bacterial small subunit ribosomal RNA", at positions 32 to 715 of the family's 1533-position model. The record is from RNAcentral.
AACGCUAGCUACAGGCUUAACACAUGCAAGUCGAGGGGAAACGACAUCGAAAGCUUGCUUUUGAUGGGCGUCGACCGGCGCACGGGUGAGUAACGCGUAUCCAACCUGCCCACCACUUGGGGAUAACCUUGCGAAAGUAAGACUAAUACCCAAUGAUAUCUCUAGAAGACAUCUGAAAGAGAUUAAAGAUUUAUCGGUGAUGGAUGGGGAUGCGUCUGAUUAGCUUGUUGGCGGGGUAACGGCCCACCAAGGCAACGAUCAGUAGGGGUUCUGAGAGGAAGGUCCCCCACAUUGGAACUGAGACACGGUCCAAACUCCUACGGGAGGCAGCAGUGAGGAAUAUUGGUCAAUGGACGAGAGUCUGAACCAGCCAAGUAGCGUGCAGGAAGACGGCCCUAUGGGUUGUAAACUGCUUUUAUAAGGGAAUAAAGUGAGUCUCGUGAGACUUUUUGCAUGUACCUUAUGAAUAAGGACCGGCUAAUUCCGUGCCAGCAGCCGCGGUAAUACGGAAGGUCCGGGCGUUAUCCGGAUUUAUUGGGUUUAAAGGGAGCGUAGGCCGGAGAUUAAGCGUGUUGUGAAAUGUAGACGCUCAACGUCUGCACUGCAGCGCGGACUGGCAGACUUGAGUGUGCGCAACGUAGGCGGAAUUCGUGGUGUAGCGGUGAAAUGCUUAGAUAUCACGAAGAACUCCGAUUG